This is a long non-coding RNA of Scleropages formosus (Asian bonytongue), 2363 nucleotides long. RefSeq lists it as uncharacterized. NCBI's taxonomy places the organism in Eukaryota, Metazoa, Chordata, Actinopteri, Osteoglossiformes, Osteoglossidae. The transcript has 4 exons. The record is from RefSeq and is a predicted model, not a curated record.
GAAUAAAAACACUUGUGUUGAAGGGUGACGGUAAGGUGCUCAGGAUCUACACUCAGUACAGUUUUGGUUGCAUUCUUGAAUUUUGGACAAAAUGUUUUUAAUAUCCCAAUAUUUUGCAUCGUUUGCUAUCAUUUUUGUUAAGUGUUGAAGUGUAAUCGAUUGAAUGACUGAGUGUGUACUGUACUGAGAGGUCAUGUUACUGUCCUUUCCAGCCCGUGUGUGUGUGUGUGUUUUCAUCCUGGAUCUAAAAAAGGAAUCCAACCAAAAAUGCUCAGACACAAGCGAAGGAGGAGCUUAGAGAUUCAUGUUGAUUUUAGAUCUGCUGGUGAGAAAAGCUCUUCUACUCAUACAGGGUCUGUUCCUGAUCUGAUGAACGAGCUCAAUCACACCAGGGAGACGUGCAAAGAGGUUCAACAGAACACGGAGGAUGCUAGAAAGGAGACGAUGGACAAGGGGGCAGUCAGCUUUACAGUGUAGUGAAGUGUUUUACUAUAGUAUGGGUAUGUAGAGGAGCAGGAUUGUGUGUGACAGCAACAAGAGGGUAAGUGGUGAAAGCAGUAGUACCUGGACAAAGAAAGGCAGCUACAGUAGUAUCAAAGUUGAGUUGUUAAAAAAAAAAAAAACAGGAAAAUUUUAAGAUAAACCCUGAAAGCUUUUUUAACACUCAGACUUAGACAGAUACAGUCAUACUAACGUGAAACACAUCUUUAUGAGAAAAGGCCAAGAAGUUAAGUAUGAAAGCCUCCAAUCCCAGAGCAGAUCAGUGAUGGACAAAUCGGGGAGGGAGUUGGGCUACAAUUCGAUAUCCAUUGACACCUCAAAAUCCAGGUGUGAUAACAUAAUGACACAGUAUAGAGAAAAAACUAAACACACCAACUGAGAAGUGAUCUGCAGCUGAAACCAGGUUACAUGGCAACUCUCAAGGACCAGCAUUUACGCCUUGCAAUAGUUUUACCCCCUCACCCCUUCCCUGCUACAGAGGAAGCCCCAGUAGCACAGACACUGUACAUUAAGGCACCCAGUAUUAUCCAAAUAUGAAGAUACAGCAGGAUAAUCCUGAUAUUAUCAUUACCAACAAUAACACUAAACAUUUAUCCAUGUCAACGUAAGAGUGAAAUAUCAUGUUUUGAGUGGUAAGUAUGGAAGUGACCCACAUGAGUGAUCAGAGCUGUAUGCCAAAGGUGAGUAAAAAAACUAAACACUUUUUAGCCCCACAUUCUGUUGCAUGGUUGUCAUACUGAAAAUAAUGAGUAUUUUGGAAUUACCAAGAAACACCUGCAGUAAAGUUUUGAAAAUGGGCCUUGACUAGUAGUGCCACCUAUUGUGUCACAGCCCAGUGAAAAUGAAAUCACAUGCCUCACUCACACAUUCAUAUUUCAGUGUGAAAAGUGACUGCUAAGGACACAUUUUGAACUAAUAUUCAUUUCUUUGAGUCGUUCAGCUUCUUACUCAUUAACCGAACCCUACACAAAAAGUUCCCUCACUAUAUGCUGCUGAAACAAUGGAAUUCUCUACCUUUGCUUUGAACUGAAAUGUCGUAAGAGCAUGUGAUUGAAACAAGGGAUUUUUCAUUUAGAUGUGAGAUGGUAGCGCACAUUUCAAUUUUGUCAUGUGUUUCUUGGUAAUUCCAAUAUGCUCAUUAAAGAAUCCAGUUAUAUGGCCCAUGGGCUGUGAAAGGGUGUAUCAGUUAAUAUUUGGAACACCAAAUAGUCACUGCAGUCAAAUUUAUACUUGAAGAUCAGUCACUACUGUCACCCAGCAUACUCUCCAUGAAGUGCUUUGCAUAACUCUCUGAUUGCAUGUUAUUUUCUUCCCAUGUCCAACAUGCCUGGGAUGACCUCCGCUGUACUGAGACCUUCAAAUCCUCAUCAUUUGACCACCAUGAACCACUGAAGAUGGAGGAUGUCCAGAUGACGAGUCCACUAGAGAACUACAGCUUUUUUUCUGAACUGUAUAGUGUUAGCACUCCCAGGAGGGGCAGGCAGCCAGAUGACCUUGGUUCCCCCAGAGGUUUUUUUUUCUUCCCCUCCUGUUCUGGGCAGAAGUUUUGUUUCCUCUGUUGCCUUGUGGCUUUUAUUCUCUGCACACAUUCAUAACUGUGAAAAUGUAUGAUUACUGAGCCCAGAAAUCUGUUCAUAAAUGCAUUUGUUUGUAGUUCCAAAGUCAUUUUUGCUACUAUGCCACAAUUAGUAAUACAGAUAUAACUGAGAUAUGCAGUUUAGGUUCUGGAAAAAUCUCAGAUGGAGCUAUUAUCUAACAUAGCUCAGUUAGUCAGUUUCCUUCCAAUUGUCCUGGUAAGGGUCGUGACUCUUUAUAUUUAAAUAUCCUUAUUAAUUUUGAGCUGCAUUAAAAUUAAGUAAUCC